RNAcentral lists this ribosomal RNA (1500 nucleotides) under metagenome. RNAcentral's name for it is "bacterial SSU rRNA". It matches the Rfam family "Bacterial small subunit ribosomal RNA". The record is from RNAcentral.
AGAGUUUGAUCCUGGCUCAGGACGAACGCUGGCGGCGUGCUUAACACAUGCAAGUCGAACGGGCUUAUUUUGGGAGUAAUCCCGGGGUAAGCUAGUGGCGGACGGGUGCGUAACGCGCGAGCAAUCUGUCCUCAAGAGGGGGAUAACAACUGGAAACAGUUGCUAAUACCGCACGAGACCACAAGUUCACAUGGACAAGGGGUUAAAGGAGAAAUCCGCUUGAGGGUGAGCUCGCGUCCCAUUAGAUAGUUGGUGAGGUAACGGUCCACCAAGUCGACGAUGGGUAGCCGAUCUGAGAGGAUGACCGGCCACAUUGGAACUGAGAAACGGUCCAGACUCCUACGGGAGGCAGCAGUGGGAAUAUUGGGCAAUGGGCGCAAGCCUGACCCAGCAACGCCGCGUGAGGGAAGAAGGUUUUCGGAUCGUAAACCUCUGCUGCAGGGGACGAGCAGUAGACGGUACCCUGCGAGGAAGCUCCGGCUAACUACGUGCCAGCAGCCGCGGUAAUACGUAGGGAGCAAGCGUUGUCCGGAAUGACUGGGCGUAAAGGGCGCGUAGGUGGUUUUGUAAGUCUGGAGUGAAACCCCCGUUUUCAAGGCGGGGCCUGCUUUGGAGACUGCAGGACUUGAGUGAUGGAGAGGAUAGCGGAAUUCCCGGUGUAGCGGUGAAAUGCGUAGAGAUCGGGAGGAACACCAGUGGCGAAGGCGGCUAUCUGGACAUAGACUGACACUGAGGCGCGAAAGCGUGGGGAGCAAACAGGAUUAGAUACCCUGGUAGUCCACGCUGUAAACGAUGGAUGCUAGGUGUAGGAGGUAUCGACCCCUUCUGUGCCGGAGUAAACACAAUAAGCAUCCCGCCUGGGGAGUACGGCCGCAAGGUUGAAACCCAAAGGAAUUGACGGGGGCCCGCACAAGCAGCGGAGCAUGUGGUUUAUUCGACGCAACGCGAAGAACCUUACCAGGUCUUGACAUCCAGUUAAAGCAUAUGAAAGUAUGUGUCUCUUCGGAGGAACUGAGACAGGUGGUGCAUGGUUGUCGUCAGCUCGUGUCGUGAGAUGUUGGGUUAAGUCCCGCAACGAGCGCAACCCUUGCGAUUGGUUGCUAACAGGUAAAGCUGAGAACUCCAAUAGGACUGCCGGGGACAACUCGGAGGAAGGUGGGGACGACGUCAAAUCAUCAUGCCCCUUAUGACCUGGGCUACACACGUGCUACAAUGGCCACUACAAAGAGGAGCGAAUCCGUAAGGAGGAGCAGAUCUGAGAAAAGUGGUCCCAGUUCAGAUUGUGGGCUGCAACCCGCCCACAUGAAGUCGGAGUUGCUAGUAAUCGCGGAUCAGCAUGCCGCGGUGAAUACGUUCCCGGGCCUUGUACACACCGCCCGUCACACCAUGGGAGUUGGGAGCACCCGAAGCCUGCGAGCUAACGCAAGAGGCAACAGUCGAAGGUGAGACCAAUGACUGGGGUGAAGUCGUAACAAGGUAGCCGUAUCGGAGGUGCGGCUG